Long non-coding RNA from Etheostoma spectabile (orangethroat darter), 393 nucleotides. RefSeq lists it as uncharacterized. NCBI's taxonomy places the organism in Eukaryota, Metazoa, Chordata, Actinopteri, Perciformes, Percidae. The transcript has 3 exons. The record is from RefSeq and is a predicted model, not a curated record.
UCCCCGUACUUUUUGACAAGCGUCUUUGGCGGGGCGGCCAGAGCUUUUUUGCAGCUCAAGUCGGUGGCGGUGUGUACGUACGGUAAAGCUAUUAUGGCAACACAGAUUCAAACCAAUUGCACAUACUACAUAGUACGAGUGCAGGUCCAGCAGGGCGCUGACCAAUCAGCCAAACGUCUCUGGAGGACUGUCGGGGGUCAGAGGACAGCGACUACGAGGCUGAACAGGACUUGAGUGACGGCGAAAACGACGACGACGAGGAGUGGAAUUACCUGGAGCUCUUCCAGCUGCACAACAACCUGAAGUGCUUCGAACAAAUCUACUACAACAAUGCAAUGGUUGACCAGCAGCACACUGAGAGCGAAGAGGAGUUCGGUAGAAGACCCAUUUCAA